AUGCUUCUCCUAAAGACUAAGCCAUGCAUGCCUAAGAAUAAGAGGAAGCAAUUCUCUCUGAAUCUGCGAACGGCUCCGCAAACCAGUUGUAAACUAUAGCAAGCAAGCCCGGGGUCGGCCUUCACGGGCUGGUUCCGGGUGAUAUGGAUAACCCUGGUAAUUCUGAGGCUAAUACAUGACCGUAAAACCUAGCUGACCGGCUUCGGCUGGGAUGCUGGGGGACGUGUGAUUUGGGCUUGGUAACACCGGGAAGGGGCGCACGUCUAGACCACGCUAUAAAGGUCGGUUUCCUCCUCGGAGGGGGCCGUCCCAGUGGCUCUUGCUGUGUGCUUCUGACCUAUCAACUAGACGGCAGCGUAAGGGACAUGCUAUGGUGACAACGGGUACAGAGGAUUAGGGUUCGAUCCUGGAGAGUGGGCCUGAGAGAUUGCUCAUACUUCUAAGGAAGGCAGCAGGCGCGCAACGUUCCCCUUGGGCAAUGCCCGAGGGCGUUAGGGGACAUAUGAAUGCCUGCCCAUUGGGUGGGCAAUUCAAAUGGGUCUGUUGUAAACAGGCUC
RNAcentral lists this ribosomal RNA (557 nucleotides) under Lamproderma aeneum. RNAcentral's name for it is "SSU rRNA". It matches the Rfam family "Eukaryotic small subunit ribosomal RNA", at positions 28 to 536 of the family's 1831-position model. The record is from RNAcentral. Lineage: Eukaryota; Evosea; Eumycetozoa; Stemonitida; Stemonitidae.